AAAUUUAAACUUUUAUUUUUUUUUUAUAACUUAAAUACAAGAGUUUUGCUAUAAUUUUUUAUUUUUUUAUUUUUUAAAAUUUAUAUUUUGAUUUUUAAAAUUUUAAAUUUACAGGAUUCCAUCAUUUUUUCGUCUAUCUCUUAUAAUAAUAAAAAUAUAUUAAAAAAUUAUUUUUUUUAUAGAAAAAUUAAGGAUAAUCUGGUUAUUUCCUCCUCUUCAUUGACGCUGUAAUAUAUCUCCUAAAAAAUAUUUUUAAAAUUUUAAGGGUAAAAAAAAUAUAGGUUUUUAAAAGUCUAAGAAAAAACUGUAAUACCUCAUUAAUCCUACAUCGGAUGGGAAUGGAUUAUGAUUGGUUAUAUAAGAAAUAAUGUGAAUUAGUAAUAAUAAUCGAGUUUAAGUAUUUUUAGCCAAUGGUUUGGGCCCAAUAAAUUUUUAUUGCUAGCAGGUUAGGUCUUUAUAUUUAUAUUAAGGCCUUUAAAAAAACAAGAGAAUGGAGGAUCUCUAAUACAAGCAUAGACCUCCAAUUAUCCUCAUAUAACAAUACCUAGAAUAUAUAUUUAUACAAUUAUUAAACAUUUAUAAAAUUCUUUUACACACACAUACAAAAAUAAAAUAAAAUAAAAUAAUGUUAGCUAC
This 636-nucleotide long non-coding RNA is filed under the name Ananas comosus (pineapple). Its description in RNAcentral is "long non-coding RNA (ACOM_LNC011587)". The record is from RNAcentral. Lineage: Eukaryota; Viridiplantae; Streptophyta; Magnoliopsida; Poales; Bromeliaceae.